Molecule: long non-coding RNA, 1387 nt
Organism: Papaver somniferum (opium poppy)
Lineage: Eukaryota; Viridiplantae; Streptophyta; Magnoliopsida; Ranunculales; Papaveraceae
Exons: 4
Source: RefSeq, a predicted model, not a curated record
CCCUCUUCGCUUAAAAGCGUUCUGUGAUCUCAAUUCCCAUUCAUUUUCCCCUUAGUAUUCUCUGAUCUUCAGCUUACCAAAAACCUAGGUAUUGUCUCAAUCGGCUUUUGUUCAUGAGACAUUAUUAUUCUAUAUUCAUUUGAUUUUAUUGAAAGAUGGGAAAUCCCACUGGAGGAGGAACCAGAUCUGUUUGGAUUUCUUUACAUCUCUUAUUUUAGGCCAUGUUCUUCUUCCCUUCAAAUACAAGUUUGAGAUUAUUAAUUGAUGUUUAUAUUUUGACUGACUAUUUGUAUGAAAGUGCGGAAUGAAGAUUGGGGUUCUUUAUUGGAAGUUGUUUUCUUCUCAAAUUUAAGUGAAUAAUUCUUUUCCGAUGAAACUCUUGGUUGUUGUUGGAGACUCAAAGUUUCUCAUAGCAUUAAGCCAUUAGCCAACACAAACAAAAGAAUGUGGUAUCUGAUUCUUUACCUUUUCUUACGUAGCUAAUUCUCUUAGCAAUAACGGAAGAACUCAAAGCUUUUUCUUUAACAGAAAUCGCUUUUCAUUCCAAAUCCGAGUGUUGCCUAACCAUCCAUGCCAAAUUUCUUGGAAGACCAAUUUCUUGGAAGAACAUCCAGGAGGAAAAGAUAGUAUAUUAAAAUCUGGAGCAAAAUCAGUGGAUUCUAGGCAUUGCUUGGAGGUAUAGAUAUCAAAUGUGGUCUAUAAAAAGUGUAAGUGUGAGCAAGUGUGUAACAAUGUGACAUCAAGCUCGAUUUGUCGUCCAGAGUGAACCUUGAAACUCAUUUUUUACGGCAAAUCGAGGGUUGAAUGUAACCUUUUAUUUAUUUUGAAGCAUCGAUUUUUUUUCUAUGAUAACGUAAUUUGUUGGUUACUUGCAUCUUGAAAUCUGGAACACAUAAACAAAGCCUUCAGAUAGACUCGGAUGAUGAUGAAGAGCAGGAAAACCAGAACCAUCUGCAAGUUUGGGAACAAUACGAAGAGCUCUUACUAGAUGCUCAUGACACUAUGACUGAGAAUGUAAAGGAACAUAUAAAGGAAGCUGAAACCGAGAAGGAAAUUGCAAUGGUAGGAUACUAUCUGGAACAGCUAUAACUGAAAGGACCACUAUUUUAACGAGGCACGGAAACUAUGGUGGAGCUGGAUUAAUAAGGGGGCAUAUGAGGGAUCGCAAUAUUCUGAAAUUUAGGGUAAUUUUACUGAAGUUUGAUGCCCAUCUAAAUUUACAGUGGGAUUCUGUUGCUUUUAUUAUUACGUUAUUUAGACUUUUCUUAACAGUUCGUGUUUUUAGGGAUCGUAUGUUGAUCACCGAGCGUUUUUACAUUAUCAAGAUGUAGUAUCCGAGGUUAAAUGUUAAUGACUGUUUCCCCACUUGGGUUGGGUUUUAGUUUGA